This 422-nucleotide small RNA is filed under the name Histoplasma ohiense. Its description in RNAcentral is "hypothetical lncRNA". The record is from RNAcentral. Lineage: Eukaryota; Fungi; Ascomycota; Eurotiomycetes; Onygenales; Ajellomycetaceae.
CUCAGAGCUCGAUUUUUUAGCUAACCUGAUCCUGGUGCGGGCCCUAUUGCAGUCACUAACGCACUUCAUCGCUUUAUCGGCGACUUUUUCACGGCGCUAGUUUUAGUAUGAGCCAUUAAUUCCUCUCUCUUACACUCAUACUAAAUUGGUGUGGUGAUAUAAAGUGGCGGAGAAAGUGGUGAAGUGAAGUACGUUAGAGCACUGAUUAUUGGAUUUAUCAUCAAUUUAUACCUGAUAGAUAUCUAACCUCUCACUCAAAAGGAAUAAUGAAAGGAAAAUAAUAACUUUUGUAUGAUGAAACCUCGUUUACCAAAUAGGUGCUGAUUUUGGUGGUGGAUUCGGCGGAGAUGUCAAGCGUUCCCUCCCAAAAAUGAUAUGAGAACGGACGGUAAAGAAUAAAAAUAAGUUAGCCAAUCAGAGGA